This 72-nucleotide transfer RNA is filed under the name Candelaria pacifica. Its description in RNAcentral is "tRNA-Cys". It matches the Rfam family "tRNA". From Rfam's summary of the family: Transfer RNA (tRNA) molecules are approximately 80 nucleotides in length. Their secondary structure includes four short double-helical elements and three loops (D, anti-codon, and T loops). Further hydrogen bonds mediate the characteristic L-shaped molecular structure. tRNAs have two regions of fundamental functional importance: the anti-codon, which is responsible for specific mRNA codon recognition, and the 3' end, to which the tRNAs corresponding amino acid is attached (by aminoacyl-tRNA synthetases). tRNAs cope with the degeneracy of the genetic code in two manners: having more than one tRNA (with a specific anti-codon) for a particular amino acid; and 'wobble' base-pairing, i.e. permitting non-standard base-pairing at the 3rd anti-codon position. RNAcentral also lists the same sequence under 2 other names. Lineage: Eukaryota; Fungi; Ascomycota; Candelariomycetes; Candelariales; Candelariaceae. The record is from RNAcentral.
GGUUAAGUAACAUAAAGGCUAAUGUGCGAGAUUGCAAAUCUUGAGAUGGUGGUUCAAUUCCACCCUUAACCU